Molecule: transfer RNA, 75 nt
Filed under: Bacillota bacterium
Lineage: Bacteria; Bacillati; Bacillota
Description: tRNA-Ile
Rfam family: tRNA
About the family: Transfer RNA (tRNA) molecules are approximately 80 nucleotides in length. Their secondary structure includes four short double-helical elements and three loops (D, anti-codon, and T loops).
Source: RNAcentral
GGGCCCAUAGCUCAACGGUAGAGCAGGUGACUCAUAAUCACUUGGUUGGGGGUUCGAAUCCCUCUGGGCCCACCA